CCUACGGGGUGCUGCAGUGGGGGAUAUUGCACAAUGGGGGGAACCCUGAUGCAGCGACGCCGCGUGGGUGAAGAAGCGCCUCGGCGCGUACAGCCCUGUCAGCAGGGAAGAAAAUGACGGUACCUGAAGAAGAAGCCCCGGCUAACUACGUGCCAGCAGCCGCGGUAAUACGUAGGGGGCAAGCGUUAUCCGGAUUUACUGGGGGUAAAGGGGGCGCAGACGGCGAUGCAAGCCAGGAGUGAAAGCCCGGGGACCAACCCCGGGACUGCUCUUGGAACUGCGGGGCUGGAGUGCAGGAGGGGCAGGCGGAAUUCCUGGUGUAGCGGUGAAAUGCGGAGAUAUCAGGAGGAACACCGGUGGCGAAGGCGGCCUGCUGGACUGCAACUGACGUUGAGGCCCGAAAGCGUGGGGAGCAAACAGGAUUAGAUACCCUAGUAGUC
RNAcentral lists this ribosomal RNA (440 nucleotides) under uncultured bacterium. RNAcentral's name for it is "partial 16S ribosomal RNA". It matches the Rfam family "Bacterial small subunit ribosomal RNA", at positions 338 to 795 of the family's 1533-position model. The record is from RNAcentral.